RNAcentral lists this transfer RNA (69 nucleotides) under Ictidomys tridecemlineatus (thirteen-lined ground squirrel). Its description in RNAcentral is "Spermophilus tridecemlineatus (thirteen-lined ground squirrel) tRNA". It matches the Rfam family "tRNA". From Rfam's summary of the family: Transfer RNA (tRNA) molecules are approximately 80 nucleotides in length. Their secondary structure includes four short double-helical elements and three loops (D, anti-codon, and T loops). Lineage: Eukaryota; Metazoa; Chordata; Mammalia; Rodentia; Sciuridae. The record is from Rfam by way of RNAcentral.
GGGGUUGUGGCUCAGAGGCAGAGCACUUGUCUAGAAUGUGUGAGGUACUGGGUUCGAUUCUCAGCCCCA